Molecule: ribosomal RNA, 253 nt
Filed under: uncultured bacterium
Lineage: Bacteria
Description: partial 16S ribosomal RNA
Rfam family: Bacterial small subunit ribosomal RNA
Source: RNAcentral
UACGUAGGGCGCGAGCGUUGUCCGGAUUUAUUGGGCGUAAAGAGCUCGUAGGCGGUUUGUCGCGUCUGCUGUGAAAACCUAAGGCUCAACCUUGGGCUUGCAGUGGGUACGGGCAGACUAGAGUGCGGUAGGGGUGACUGGAAUUCCUGGUGUAGCGGUGGAAUGCGCAGAUAUCAGGAGGAACACCGAUGGCGAAGGCAGGUCACUGGGCCGCAACUGACGCUGAGGAGCGAAAGCAUGGGGAGCGAACAGG